UUUUUUUCUCUUGUUCUUAUUGGUGCUAUUAUUCAUAUUUAUUUUAUAUUUUUGGCUAUUUUUAUUUUUAUUUUUUGCAGUACAGGGAAUUGAGCCUGGGACCUCGUGCACAUUGGGUAGGUGCUCUAUCACUGGAACUAUACUCCCAGCCCAGCUGAGGAAUUGAACCCAACUCUAGCCACAAUUGAACCCAACUCUAGCCACAAUCUUGGUGGAUACUACAACUUAAAAAGAAUAUAAGGGCCAAAAGCUCCUGGCCAAUGACCUGCCUUCAAGUGGAGGUCUGAAGUCCCCUUCCUGGAUGGACAUUCCCAUAGUAACAGCAGAGAGGAAUAGUACACACGAUGUGGACACCACACCUACAGACCUCUGUAUGGGUCACACCCAUAUAUCAGAUUGUGCAUUCCUGGCAAGACUGAAUGUGAGUGCCACAGCGGGGAAGCUGUGAUCUUCGACCCUGACUCUCCCCAUGAAAUGGAGGAACUUCAGGCCCUUCACCAUAACUGGAGUAAUCAACCUCAGAAUUGCUUUUGUGUAAUAGAGCCAAUAUCAACAGUGCCUAUAGAAACUUCCACCACCUAGUAGGGGUUUCCAGAGGGUGUACCUCCAUGUCUCCACUUACUCUGCUGCCUACACUAAACAUGCCUGAAUUAUGAGAGGGUUCCCACUCUUGUGAGACUUGCCCAGAUAGUAGAUACCUCAGACUUCAGUAUGGCAUGCACUGUGUCCAGACCCACUAAUCAUAGCCCAAGAAGCCACAGAGAGAUUGCAUUAUUGAAUUGGAGGUAAACUCAACAUUAUACAAUAAUUUGACACCACAGGGCAUAUCAAUUGGAAGCCACUAAGAAGAACAUCACAUAAAAGUGGAAGAGAGUCCAAUUCAAUAGAUUGGUAAAUCUCAACCUAGAAACAUGAAAUAUGAUGCAACGUAAUAGAACACCUCCAAAAGUUCAUAACUCUUUAGUAACUGAUUCCAAAGAUAUCAAAGUGGAUGAAAUGCCACACAAAGAAUCUUUCAGGAGAACAAUGUUAAAAGCAGUAUGUGAUAAAAGGAUAAACAGCUGGAUGAAUUAACAAAACAAUUCAAGAAAGAUCUGAAAAGUUCAAUGUCAGAAAAUUCACUUGGAAGUCUCACUAUUAGAAUGGAUAAAAUAGAAGAAAGAAUAACAUAUAAAGAUGAAACUUUUGAAAUAUUAGUAGAGAAAGAAAAUUGAGUAGGUAUGACGUUGCCAUACAAGAGAUUUGGGACAACAUCACAAGACAAAAUAUCUGGCUCAUUGGCAUACCCGAGAGAGAAGAGCUACAGGUUGGGGGCAUUAAACAAAACCUAUUUAAUGAGCUGGGCGCCUUGGCGCAUGCCUGUAAUCGCAGCAACUCGGGAGGCUGAGACAGGAGGAUCAUGAGUUCAAAGCCAACCUCAGCAAAAGCAAGGCGGUAAGCAACUCACUGAGACCCUGUCCCUAAGUAAAAUACAAAAUAGGGCUGGGGAUGUGACUUAGUGGCCAAAUGCCCCUGAGUUCAAUCCCCAGUAUCCAAGGGGGGAAAAAAAAAACCUAUUUCCCAGAUCUUGCAAAAGACAUGGGCAUCUAUAUACACGAUGCAUAUAGAACCCCAAAGAGAUAUGUUGUGAAAGGAACUUUUCCAUGAUACAUUGUAGUUAAAUUGUCAAACAUACUUCAUCAAGAAAACAAUAUUAAACGUGGCAAGAGAGAAGUGUCAAGGUACAUUUAAAGGCAGACGCAUUAGACUAACUGAAUAUUUCUCAGAAGGAACUCUAUUAAAGGACAGGAGGGCAUGGAUCCAUGUAUUUGAAGUCACGAAAGACAAAAAAAAAAUGAGCCAGCCAAGAGUACUGUGUUCACCAAGGCUAUCUUUUAGAAUUGACAGAGAAGUAAAGACCUUCCAAGAUAACCAUGAAGAAAGGGAAUUCUUGACUACUGGACCAAAUUACAAAACAUAAUUAAGGCAAGCCCACAAGAAGAGGAAGAAAAAUUAUAGGAACAUGUAAAAGAAUAAGUCUAACUAGAAGAGAAUAGAUAUGCAAAUGAGAAAUAAGAAAGCAUCAAACAUUAUCGUCAUUAACCAUUAAGUGUGUAAGAUGAAUGAGAUGAAAGAAUGAACAGAAUAUUUAAAACAACCAGAAGAUAAACAAACACUAUUAGAGAUAGAUUCCAAAACAGUAAUAAUGGGUGACUUCAGUACCCUACUCUCAUCAAUGGAUGGGUCAUCCAGGAAAAAAAAUCAAAGAAAUAUCAGUUAGAUUAUAUUUCUGAUUAAAUGGACAUUGUAGACAUCUAUAGAAUAUUCUACCCAACAGCUGCAGGAUGCAUAGUUAUUUUCAUCAAUGUAUGAGUCUUUCUCAAAUAGACCAUAUAUUAAGUCACAAAACUAGUCUUAACCAAUUCAAAACAAUUGAAUUAGUGAUGUAGCUGAAUACAAAAUCAACUUAGGAAAAUCAGAUUUUCUGAACAUUAAUGAGCUCAUUGAGAAAUUAGGAAAAUAAUCUUACUACAGACAAAACAAACCUGGAAAGAAACUGAAGAAGCCAUUACAAGGUGGAAAGACAGACCCUCCCCCAUGUUUGUGUACUGGGAGAAUUGGUGUUAAAUGGCCACACUAGUCAACCUUUGGUGUGGCCCUUUUCUUUCUUUUUUUCUGGGGCAGGGGAGCCUGGGGAUUGAACUUAGGGGCACUCAACCACUGAGCCACAUCCACAGCCCUAUUUUGUAUUUUCUUUAGAGACAGGGUCUCAUGAAUUACUUAGUGUCUCAUUUUUGCUGAGGCUGGCAUUAAACUCUCAGUCCUCCUGUUUUAGCCUCCCAAACAACUGGUAUUACAGGCAUGAACCACUGUGCCUGGCUGCACUUAUGGUUUUCUAUGUGUAGAAUCAUCAACAAACAAGGAUAAUUUGACUUCCUUAAUUUUUUAACAAUUUUUUUCCUUUAGUUGUCAAUUGACCUUUAUUUAUAUGCGAUGCUGAGAAUCAAACCCAGUGCUUUACACAUGCUUGUAAGCACUCUACCACAGAGCCACAAUCCUAGCCCUUCCUUUAUUAUUUGUAUUUUUUUUAAAGUAUUUUUAGUUGUCAAUAGACACAAUAUCUUUAUUUUUUUAUGUGGUGCUGAGGAUCAAACAUGCUUCACAUGUGCUAGGUAAGCACUCUACCACUGAGCUACAACCCCAGUCCUAUUUGUAUGUUUUUAUUUCUUGCCUAAUUGCUCUGGCUAAAUGUUAAGUACUGCUUUUAAUAAGAGUGCUGAGUAAGCAACUAUGUCUCAUUCUCGAAUUUAGAGGAAAUUAUUUCAGUAUUUUCCAAUUCAAUGUUUUCAUAUAUAUUUAUUUUGUCAUAUAUAGCCUUUGCCCUGUCUCAGGAAACUACUGAAGGUGAGUACUCAUUCAAAAUGAGAAUAAGCCAAGAUAACUUGUAACUUUGAAGACUGAAAUGAAAUGUAGUUUAAGUGAAAGAAAAAGGCAAGAGAAUGGAAACUAUAAGUAAAGAGGAAAGGAAAUGCAUACUCUGAGUUUAGAUAGGUUGGAGAAUUGGAUAAUAUCCUGUUUCUUAACAUCCUCAGUAAAGGGAUUAAUAGAUAUAGUUGUAAAUUAUACAGUAUCAAAGCAAUGGUUUCCUGAAAGACCUUUUGAAAAUGUUAUGAAAAGGAUCCUUUGCAAUAGAUACAUGUUUCAAUUGAAGAUUUCUUACAGUCUUCUUCUGUUACUAUAACAAAAUGUCUGAGAUAAUAAACUUCUAUUUUUGGCUUACAGUUGUAAUGCUCCUGGUUGGUUUGCUCAACAAACACAUCAUGGUGGCGAACAUAUGACAGCAGAGAUGGGCUACAGUCUCCAGCUGUGAGACCUAGACUAAGGGCUGGGUUCCCGUUUUGCUCAUGUAAAACGAGGCUCCAUGAUAAAAUUGAAGAUUACUUCCAAUUUGUAGUUCUAUGCUUUUUAGUGGUGUUUAAUAACAGUAUUAAAAUUGACAAAAUUUAAGCCUUAAGCCUUGUUUUUUAAUGCAAGGAAACAUGAUAAAAUGUUAAGUAACAAAAACAACACACAUGUACACAUUGUAUUUAAAAGAUGGUCUCUCAACUUUAUUUUUUAAAAAAAAGUGAAAAUGAAAAGAUACCCAUAAUGGGACUCUAUGAGCUUAUUGAUAACUCCCCUGCCCUUCCAGUUUUCCUUAAUUUAUUAUUUUGCCUUUCACCUAUUUGGUUGUAGAAAAAUUUAAAGAAAAAGAAUAUCUAUGAUAAUCCAUAAACAUGACCAAAUUAAAGUUAUGUUAAUUUUAUCAUAUGUUGAUGGCAUCAUGUGGUCACUGUAUGAGGCAAAUCUUUUGGUGAGGGAGGGGUGGUGCUGGAGAUUGAAUUUGGGCAGUCAACUCCUGAGCCACAUCCCAACCCUAUUUUGUGUAUUUUAUUUAGAGACAGGGUCUCACUGAGUUGCUUAGUGUCUGGCUGUUGCUGAGGCUGGCUUAGAACUCAUGAGCCUCUUGACUCUGCUUCCUUAGCUACUAGGAUUACCGGUGUGCACUGCUGCAUCCAGCUGAGGCAAAGCUUUUUUAAGUUUUCUGUAUUACUAUAAGCCAUCGUCAUUUUUUUCCUUAUGCAUGACAAUAGAAUGUAUUAUUUUGACAUACAUUUAUGGAUGUUAUGGUUUUUGAGGUGUACCCCAAAAGCUCAUGUGUGGGCAAUGCAAGAAGGUUCAGAGAAGAAAUGAUUGGGUUAUGAGAGCCUUGACCCAACAGUGAAUUAAUCACCAAUGGGGCACCCUUCAUGCACUAGGAAGUUUAUUCAGAAGUGUUCAGGCUGCUGCAGCCAGGGUCCCUGGGGCCAUGGCUACCGCUCCAGAUGGCAGCAGACCAUGGUGUCAAACAUGUGGUGCUGGUUCUGCAGGAAAGCAGGAUGCUGGAGUUAGUGGGUUAUGGAGGCUUCCACCAAGAUUUCAAAGGAUGGCCUGGAAAGCCAGGCAAAGUGCAGCAGGGUUGGAGUCUCUGUGGGCAGCCCCCAAGAGGGUUAGGCAUGGAGAUGUGUGGAGGAAGCCAAAGCUCUGAUGGAGACCCCUGAAGAUUAAGAAAUGCCAGUAACGUGGAGCAUCAUCCUAGGAAAGCUGCAGGAUCAAGAAGACAAUCAGGCCAUUUGGGCUGCAACCAACAAAGCCAGAGGGGUAAUCUAUACAAGUUCUUUGGAGAGGACAUCAUAUCAUAUGCUCCAGAUGCCAGACAGAACUAUAGGACUUGUUUGACCAGCUGGAUUUCAGCCUGGCUUUGGUCCCUUCCUUUCUCUCUAUGCCUCUGUUUUUCUAAAUGUUUUCGAAGGCCUCUGUUUUUCUAAAUGUUUUCUAAGUGUUUAGUUUGUACCUUUAUGUUUUCUAAGUGUUUAUUUUGUACCUUUAUAUAUUGGAAACUUGUAAAUAGCUUGAUUUUUACAGGAACUCAUGAUGCAAGUUUGCCUUGAGUCUGAAAGGAAACUUUGGACUUGAACUCUGAGCAGUCUUGGAACUGCUGAGACUGUGGGGACUCUUGGGGAUAGACUAAAUGUAUUUUGCUUUGUCAGAUGAGUGUGAGCUUUUGGGGACGGGGUGGAAUGUUAUAGUUUGGAUGUGAGGUGUACCCCAAAAGCUCAUGCGAGACACUUCUAAAAGGUUUAGAGAGGAAAUGAUUAGGUUGUGAGAAUCUUAACCCAAUCAGUGAAUUAAUCACCUGAUGGGAUUGAGUGGUAACUGAAGGCAGGUGGGUGUGGCAAGAUGAAGUAGUGGGGGUCUCUCUCUGCUUCCUCCUGAUCAUGUGAGCUGCCUCCCUCCUCCACACUCUUCUUCCAUGAUGUUCAGCUUCACCUGUAGUCCUGAGGAAUGGAGCUGUCUGCAUAUGGACUGAGAACUCAAACUGGAGCCCUCAAAUAAACCUUUCCUCCUCCACAAUUAUUCUGUUUGGGUCUUUUAGUCACAGCAGUAAAAAAAGCUGACUAAAACAAUAGAGUAUAACUUUGCCUUCUUUUAGAAAAGAGUCCCCACAGUCUCAACAGUUCCAAGAUUGCUCAAAGUUCAAGUCCAAAGUCUCCUCUGAGACUCAGGGCAAACUUGCAUCCUGAGUGCCUAUAAAAAUCAAUUCUUUAAAGAAUCAGCAUAAAUCCAAAAGACUUCUAUUAAGGGGAGGAAGGAAACAUUAAAAGAACAACCUGGAUCGGGUACUAAUUAUUUUACAUGGUUAUCUCACAUAGAUAUUAAAGAACUUUUAGGAGAUUAUCCUAUUCUGUUUGACAAAGAUCUUCAAGAUAAAUGACUUUUUCUUUUCUCUAAAAGUUUACAUACCUUGGCUGGAUGUGGUGUUGCACACUUGUAUUCCUAGCAUUCCAGAGGAUAGGUCAGGAGUAUCAGAAAAGUGCAAGGCCAACAUUAACAACUUAGCAAGAUCUUGUCUAUAAAUUUAAAAAGGGAGCAGUGGAUGUGAAGUGCCCUUAGGAUCAAUCCCUAGUACCAAAACAAAUAAAAGGUGACAUUCAGAUGAAUAUGUAUGUCAUGAUCCUGCUUACAUUAACAAAAAAGAAAACCCUUAUGUCUAGAAAAAUUCUGGGAAGCUACAUAAAAGUAUUUACAGUAGUAACUAAUAAAUGUUGAAGAUUCGGGAUAAAAAUAUUUAUUUUAUAUUUUUUCAUAUUUAAAAAAUAGAACAGGGGCUGGGGUUGUAUCUCAGCAGCAGAGCGCUAGCCUAGCACGUGUGAGGCCCUGGGUUCGAUCCUCAGCACCACAUAAAAAUAAAUAAAUAUAGUGUCCAACUAAAAGCUAAAUAUUUAAAAAAAAUUAAAAAAGAACAGGUAUUAGCCUAAUGUGUAUAUGACUUUCAGGAGAAGAAAAGGAGGCUUUGAAGAUCUAAAAGAACCAGUAUUUUUCUUAUAAUUUGCUUUAUUUAUCUGUGAAGAAAACAGUAGUGUGCAAGAGGGCAGUUUUCUCAGUAUAGGUAGCCUCAUAAGGUUUUCUCUUAAUGAGAAAGAACAUCUUUUAAGUUGUAUUUGCUUUUUGUAUCUAGUAUACCUUAUUUUUUCUGUUUUUAUUUUAGUUGCAGAUGGACACAAUACUUUUAUUUUUAUGUGAUGCUAAGGAUUGAACCCAGUGCCUCAUAUUCUGGGCAAGCACUGUACCACUGAGCUACAACUGCAGCCCCUACUGUACCAUUGUUUUGACAUUGCACAGAUAAUGCAAUUUCAAUGAUUCAGUUUUGUUGUGCAAUGUAAGAUUUUUUCAUUUAUUACUGUUUUAAAAUAUAAAAAAUGUGUUUUGC
Molecule: long non-coding RNA, 7270 nt
Filed under: Marmota monax (woodchuck)
Lineage: Eukaryota; Metazoa; Chordata; Mammalia; Rodentia; Sciuridae
Source: RNAcentral